GUCUCCGUGGCGUAGCUGGUUAUCGCGUAGGAUUCAUAACCCUAAGGUCGCCGGUUCGAGCCCGGCCGGGGACA
Molecule: transfer RNA, 74 nt
Filed under: Monoraphidium minutum
Lineage: Eukaryota; Viridiplantae; Chlorophyta; Chlorophyceae; Sphaeropleales; Selenastraceae
Description: tRNA-Met
Rfam family: tRNA
About the family: Transfer RNA (tRNA) molecules are approximately 80 nucleotides in length. Their secondary structure includes four short double-helical elements and three loops (D, anti-codon, and T loops).
Source: RNAcentral